CCUGAUAGUUCAGUUGGUAAAGAAUCUGCCUGCAAUGCAGGAGACCCUGGUUUGAUUCCUGGGUCAGGA
Molecule: transfer RNA, 69 nt
Filed under: Muntiacus reevesi (Reeves' muntjac)
Lineage: Eukaryota; Metazoa; Chordata; Mammalia; Artiodactyla; Cervidae
Also listed under: 5 other names
Rfam family: tRNA
About the family: Transfer RNA (tRNA) molecules are approximately 80 nucleotides in length. Their secondary structure includes four short double-helical elements and three loops (D, anti-codon, and T loops).
Source: Rfam by way of RNAcentral